GACGAACGCUGGCGGCGUGCCUAAUACAUGCAAGUAGAACGCUGAAGGAGGAGCUUGCUCUUCUGGAUGAGUUGCGAACGGGUGAGUAACGCGUAGGUAACCUGCCUGGUAGCGGGGGAUAACUAUUGGAAACGAUAGCUAAUACCGCAUAAGAGUAGAUGUUGCAUGACAUUUGCUUAAAAGGUGCAAUUGCAUCACUACCAGAUGGACCUGCGUUGUAUUAGCUAGUUGGUGGGGUAACGGCUCACCAAGGCGACGAUACAUAGCCGACCUGAGAGGGUGAUCGGCCACACUGGGACUGAGACACGGCCCAGACUCCUACGGGAGGCAGCAGUAGGGAAUCUUCGGCAAUGGACGGAAGUCUGACCGAGCAACGCCGCGUGAGUGAAGAAGGUUUUCGGAUCGUAAAGCUCUGUUGUAAGAGAAGAACGAGUGUGAGAGUGGAAAGUUCACACUGUGACGUAUCUACCAGAAAGGACGCA
RNAcentral lists this ribosomal RNA (482 nucleotides) under Streptococcus sp. oral taxon 064. RNAcentral describes it as "bacterial SSU rRNA". It matches the Rfam family "Bacterial small subunit ribosomal RNA", at positions 28 to 496 of the family's 1533-position model. Lineage: Bacteria; Bacillati; Bacillota; Bacilli; Lactobacillales; Streptococcaceae. The record is from RNAcentral.